RNAcentral lists this ribosomal RNA (629 nucleotides) under uncultured Lactarius. Its description in RNAcentral is "eukaryotic LSU rRNA". The stretch from base 214 to 367 matches the Rfam family "5.8S ribosomal RNA". Lineage: Eukaryota; Fungi; Basidiomycota; Agaricomycetes; Russulales; Russulaceae. The record is from RNAcentral.
GAGGCAUGCAAGGGCUGUCGCUGACUUUUGACCCAAAAGUCGUGCACGCCAGAGUGUGUCCUCUCACAUAAAAUCCAUCUCACCCUUUUGUGCACCACCGCGUGGGCACCCUUCGGGAUCAAACCGAUCCAGGAGGGGGCUUGCGUUCUCACACAAACCCCCUUUUAAAAAGUGUAGAAUGACCUCAUUUUUGCGAUAACACGCAAUCAAUACAACUUUCAACAACGGAUCUCUUGGCUCUCGCAUCGAUGAAGAACGCAGCGAAAUGCGAUACGUAAUGUGAAUUGCAGAAUUCAGUGAAUCAUCGAAUCUUUGAACGCACCUUGCGCCCCUUGGUAUUCCGAGGGGCACACCCGUUUGAGUGUCGUGAAAAUCUCAACCUCCUCGGUUUCUUCUGGACACCGAAGGAGGCUUGGACUUUGGAGGCCUUUGCUGGCGUCUCUCGCCAGCUCCUCUCAAAUGAAUUAGCGGGGUCCUCUUUGCCGAUCCUCGACGUGUGAUAAGAUGUUUCCAUGUCUUGGUUUCUGGCUCUGUUGCUUUUGGGACCCGCUUCUAACCGUCUCAACCCGAGACAAUGUUUGAGCGCGUCUCCCUUCUCGGGAAACGCCCUCAAGCCCACGAACCCUUGA